RNAcentral lists this ribosomal RNA (273 nucleotides) under uncultured prokaryote. RNAcentral describes it as "partial 16S ribosomal RNA". It matches the Rfam family "Bacterial small subunit ribosomal RNA", at positions 524 to 796 of the family's 1533-position model. The record is from RNAcentral.
UACGGAGGGUGCAAGCGUUGUUCGGAUUCACUGGGUAUAAAGGGUGCGUAGGCGGCCUUGUAAGUCAGAGGUGAAAGCUGCCGGCUUAACUGGCAAAUUGCCUUUGAGACUGCAAGGCUUGAGUCCGGGAGAGGAAGGCGGAAUUCCAGGUGUAGCGGUGAAAUGCGUAAAUAUCUGGAGGAACACCGGUGGCGAAGGCGGCCUUCUGGUCCGGUACUGACGCUGAGGCACGAAAGCCAGGGGAGCAAACGGGAUUAGAAACCCCAGUAGUCC